Long non-coding RNA from Trichomycterus rosablanca, 960 nucleotides. RefSeq lists it as uncharacterized. The record is from RefSeq and is a predicted model, not a curated record. The transcript is spliced from 5 exons. Lineage: Eukaryota; Metazoa; Chordata; Actinopteri; Siluriformes; Trichomycteridae.
AAACCUGGGCUAAACAAAUGCUAGUUAAAAAUCAAUCUUGUUGCAUGAGUGAACAUCAUUGCUAAACUUCUUCUCUUUUUUCUAUAUGAUGUAUUUUUACAUACCCAAAAGAAUUCCAAGCAACAGUAUUCCAAAGAGGGACACACUGUGCCCUGUUUGAUGCAGUUCUUCUACAUACAACUCCUGGCAGCUACCCUCCUCCUUUCUACAACAUGGCCGUGGGCUCUCUCGGCCAGUAUAAAGGAAGCCCUGGAAGGUGCCGGCUCUUUCCCUAAGGAGCUGUAUAAUAGACAAUCUACGCUCCUUAAGGUUUUGAGCACAGCUGUACAAUCCAGUUUCCUCAGCUCGUGGGAUCAAGAAGUCAAGAGACUCAAUAAUCGUAGUGGCACUUGUGUGUGCAUACAGUGCAGUGGUCAUUCCUCAUGACCCAGCAAAGCUUAGCUGUGGGGGCACACCAGCAGUUGUACUCAUGACAAUUCUCCUGACAGACAGAGCAGUUACUCCUGGUUGUGAGCAGACGAUACAGUGGAGGUGGACCUUGCCUGAUUACUUUACUCUUCUGGAUUAAAUCAUGUACAGUCAAUGAUGUCUCCUGACAUCUGUUAAACCCAAUAAAGAGAUACAUAAUUGUGUUAUAUACAAACCCAUUUUUGGGGACAAAAACAGUAAGAAAAAUGUAAAUAAAACCGGACAGCAAUGAUUUUCAAAUCUUUUUAACUAUGUUUGAUUGUUUGAAAACAAUGCAAAGACAAUACAUUUAAUGAAUUCAAUUUGUUCUUUCCGUGUCUGUGUGAGUUUCCUCCGGGUGCUCCGGUUUCCUCCCACAGUCCAAAGACGUGCAAGUGAGGUGGAUUGGAGAUACUAAAUUGUCCACGAAUGUGUUUGAUAUAAACUUGUGAACUGAUUAAUUUUGUUUAAUAAGUAACUACCAUUUCUGUCAUGAAUGUAACCAAAGUGUGU